This 230-nucleotide long non-coding RNA is filed under the name Mytilus galloprovincialis (Mediterranean mussel). Lineage: Eukaryota; Metazoa; Mollusca; Bivalvia; Mytilida; Mytilidae. The record is from RNAcentral.
CAACAAAAUGGAGGUCAAGUUCAAUAAUGACGAUUUUGACUUUUACCGUUCAGGAGUUACGGUUCUUGAAAGUUUAAAAAAUGUUGUGUCCGUGCAUUUACUCAUGAACCGUUCAACCAAACCUUUUAAAAUUUUAAUAUGUUGUUACUGACAACAUAACGGAGGUCAAGUUCAAUAAUGACGAUUUUUACUUUUACCGUUCAGGAGUUACAGUUCUUGAAAGUUUAAAA